UACGAAGGGGGCUAGCGUUGCUCGGAAUGACUGGGCGUAAAGGGCGCGUAGGCGGAGUGCUUUGUCAGACGUGAAAUUCCAGGGCUUAACCUUGGGGCUGCGUUUGAGACGGGCAUUCUAGAGUGGGGAAGAGGGUCGUGGAAUUCCCAGUGUAGAGGUGAAAUUCGUAGAUAUUGGGAAGAACACCGGUGGCGAAGGCGGCGACCUGAUCCUUUUACUGACGCUGAGGCGCGAAAGCGUGGGGAGCAAACAGG
Molecule: ribosomal RNA, 254 nt
Filed under: uncultured bacterium
Lineage: Bacteria
Description: partial 16S ribosomal RNA
Rfam family: Bacterial small subunit ribosomal RNA
Source: RNAcentral